RNAcentral lists this long non-coding RNA (479 nucleotides) under Homo sapiens (human). RNAcentral describes it as "non-protein coding lnc-OCA2-9:1". The record is from RNAcentral. Lineage: Eukaryota; Metazoa; Chordata; Mammalia; Primates; Hominidae.
AUGAUCAUCAUUCUCAACAACCAGACAGUUGACCUCUCAUAAAAUGUCAACAUCACUUAGAAGGGACAUCCACAUUUUAUGAAGGACCCCAGAAGAGUCCUGCAGAGGAACCUCAAUCACAUCAAUGUGAAACUCAGCUUCCUUGGAAAGAAAAACAAGCAGCCCUGGGUUGAUGAAUGGUAGGAAAAAGAAAGAAAUCAGCUAUUUUUGCACUCUAUAUUGUCAUUGACCAAACAUGAUCAAGGAUCUCCACUACAAAAUGAAGUUGCCUGCAUUCACCUUCCCAACAAAGUUAUCAUUCAGGAGACCAGGUGUCCUGCUGACAUUCACAACUUUUUGGAUAAAAAAUAUAUCUGCAGAGUUUGGAUGAGGUCGGGUGUUGCUUGAUAUUUUAAGCCCAGGAAAACAAGUUAAUUCCUAAGUGAAAUGGCAUGGAACUUGUAUCAAGUUCAGCUGCAUUGAUUCAGCAAGCCAUGACA